GACGAACGCUGGCGGCGUGCUUAACACAUGCAAGUCGAACGAUGAACCCGGAGCUUGCUCCGGUGGAUUAGUGGCGAACGGGUGAGUAACACGUGAGUAACCUGCCCUUGACUCUGGGAUAACUGCGGGAAACUGUAGCUAAUACCGGAUACGACCCUCGGCGGCAUCGCCAGGGGGUGGAAAGAAUUUCGGUCAAGGAUGGAGUCGCGGCCUAGCAGCUAGUUGGUGAGGUAACGGCUCACCAAGGCGACGACGGGUAGGCGGCCUGGGAGGGUGUCCGGCCACACUGGGACUGAGGCACGGCCCAGAGUCCUACGGGAGGCAGCAGUGGGGAAUAGUGCACAAUGGGCGCAAGCCUGAUGCAGCAACGCCGCGUGAGGGAUGACGGCCUUCGGGUUGUAAACCUCUUUUAGUAGGGAAGGAGCGAAAGUGACGGUACCUGCAGAAAAAGCACCGGCUAACUACGUGCCAGCAGCCGCAGUAA
Molecule: ribosomal RNA, 484 nt
Filed under: uncultured bacterium
Lineage: Bacteria
Description: partial 16S ribosomal RNA
Rfam family: Bacterial small subunit ribosomal RNA
Source: RNAcentral